UACGUAGGGUGCAAGCGUUGUCCGGAAUUAUUGGGCGUAAAGAGCUCGUAGGCGGUCUGUCGCAUCGGCUGUGAAAACCCGGGGCUCAACCCCGGGCCUGCAGUCGAUACGGGCAGACUAGAGUGCGGUAGGGGAGACUGGAAUUCCUGGUGUAGCGGUGAAAUGCGCAGAUAUCAGGAGGAACACCGGUGGCGAAGGCGGGUCUCUGGGCCGUAACUGACGCUGAGACGCGAAAGCGUGGGGAGCAAACAGG
Molecule: ribosomal RNA, 253 nt
Filed under: uncultured bacterium
Lineage: Bacteria
Description: partial 16S ribosomal RNA
Rfam family: Bacterial small subunit ribosomal RNA
Source: RNAcentral